RNAcentral lists this long non-coding RNA (570 nucleotides) under Sorghum bicolor (sorghum). RNAcentral describes it as "long non-coding RNA (SBIC_LNC018787)". The record is from RNAcentral. Lineage: Eukaryota; Viridiplantae; Streptophyta; Magnoliopsida; Poales; Poaceae.
GACAUGAACAUGUGCAAGACAACAUUUUGCAAGCAAGAAACACAGCAGAAGGGCAGAAAGAAAAAGCCUAAACAAUUGGAGAGGAGGCACCCAUCAGUCUCUGUUCAGGUUGAGGCCUCACAUGUGCCGCCGUCCACUAUCUUUUUAUAUUUUCUGCAAGCAAGAUCUGUUUAAUUAAUAAUUAUUAUGUCAGCCCAAUUGCCAAUUUAGCCGCACCAGACAGACAGGAGAGGGACGAGUGAGAGUGAGAGGAGUGAGAAGCGCAAGUACAAAAAGGCAAAAGGGCGAUGAAAUUUCCAUGCUCCAAUGAUUGUGCAGCCACCAACAACUCCAGAUUUCAUUCUACUCCAAUCAAGCGAGAUUAAAGAAACGAUUUUUAUUUUAUAAAAGGUGGGUUGUUAUCUGUCUCUGAGACGAUGAUGGCUCUACUGACUAACCAGAUACAGUAUUUAUUAGUCAGGUGUAAUUUUCCAUCGACGGUGUCAGAAAAGGACAUUGCUCUGCACUAACAAAUAUCAUUACGGCAAUAAUGUAAUCCGAGCUUUGCAGCUUCAGCAGCCACCAGAGCUG